This is a small nuclear RNA of Salvelinus sp. IW2-2015, 184 nucleotides long. RefSeq annotates it as U2 spliceosomal RNA. NCBI's taxonomy places the organism in Eukaryota, Metazoa, Chordata, Actinopteri, Salmoniformes, Salmonidae. The transcript has a single exon. The record is from RefSeq and is a predicted model, not a curated record.
AUCACAUUUCAAAUCAAGUGUGGUAUCUGUUCUCAUCAGUUUAAUAUCUGAUACGUCCCCCAUCGGGGGAUUACAUAUUAAAUUCUCUCGAGUGGCSCAUCGGUCUAAGGCACUGCACUGCAUCUCAGUGCAGACCCUGGUUCAAUUCCAGGCUGUAUCACAACCUGCUUUGAUUGUUAGUCCC